CAAAGCGGCAAUGAUCAGGCCUUAUAACACAGUUAAAUAUGUGAACAUUGUGAUAAAAUAAAAUAAAAUUAUUAGUAUUACAUUAUUUUUAAUUACAAACUAUAUAAAAUAAUACAGUUAUUGCAGUCAAGUGUCUGUUAGUUGUUACUGUCUUGUUACCGAGGAAACGGAACACGGACUUCUGCACCAUUGUCAGUUAUAGUAAUUAUUUACCAGUUAUAGGCCUUGAUCAAUGUUUAACUAUUAUAACGUGUAGAUUAUAUACUUUACAAAUUAUUAAGAACUCAUACAUUAUUCACUGAACUAAUUUAUGAAAAUGAAUGUCAAUGGUCCAUACAAAUUUACAAAUUUAUUUAAAUGAAAACUUUUGCAACACAUUUGUAAAAUGCAAGCUUUCACAAAAUGUACAUUCAAUUUUGAAUAUUUUGUAUAAUUAUUCAACAAUUGAGUCUAUAGUAGUUUUAUUGUAAAAAUAUGUAUUCUUUUUAAUUUUUAAAUAUUCAUUAUAUACAAUGUCUAUUUACUAAAUUAUGCAUCCUAUGUUAUAAAUAAUAAUAAUUUCACUACCUAUUCCUGAAAACAAAAUAUGGAGGAAGAAGGUUUCAAAUUCAAACAUAUUUCCAAAGAAGAUUUUAAUAGAACUUACAAAAAAAUCAAUCGUUGUCGACAAAAACAAAUAGAUGAUCAACAUUGGAACGUUUAUAUGGAAUCAAUCAAAAGUACAGACUCUAAAAAAACAUACACUAUUGAAAAUAACACGGACAUUAAACAAAAUGAAAACUCAUUUAAUAAAUGUAGAAACAGUCAAUCUAGCAUGCAUGAUUCUGUAAAUUUAUACUCAUUGCAUGAUCCUUAUGAUAUAAAUCAUAUACACGGGCUUAGAAAUCGUUUGUUUAAAACAUUUAUUGAGUUUUCUAAUAUUUUAGAAAAUGCACUUUUGCCACCUGUUUUAAAAAGUGCUAAAAAAGUACGAAUUAAAAUAAAUGAAUAUGAUCAACAAACAAAUAAUUACAUAUUUGAUCUAAACUCACUGUUUUAUGAAAUUAAAAAAGAAUCAAAAAAUGAAGACUUGCACAAUAAAAAAAAUAAAACUAAUAUCACAUUAAGAAAAGCUUUUCAAAUUAAGUUAAUUAAAUGCUAUAAAUUAGCAAUUAAUGCCACAAAAAUGUGUUCAAAGACCUUGGAAGCUGGAAUUUAUAACCCUAUUCAAAAUAAAAUGAAAAAUUUAAUACAAAUUAUAUCAGCUCUAUCAUUAACUACUGGAAAAUAUAUUUAUGGUGAAUUAUUCAAGAAAAAAAAGAAAGAAAGUUUUGAUUUAGUUCAACAUUGCAAAGAUUUAGAAAAUAUGUUGGAGGAAUGUGGUUAUAAAGACACAGAUAUUGACAAUCAUAGUAAUAAUAUUAAUAGUAAUAUAUUAAAUGAGCUUUCUAAUAAAGCUUUAAGUAAACCUAAAACCCAAUUAUUUUCCGCCAAUUCCAAUCGAUUAAGUAUGUAUAAUCACGAUAAACCAAAAUUGGGAUCAUGCUAUGCUCAGGGAUGGUCAAAAAAAUCAUUUGAAUCAUCUAGAAAUAAAUUUUUAUCAAAACAAGACAAUAUCUUAAAAACUAAUAAUAAUUUAGACGAUAUCAAAACUGUAAUGGAAGAAUAUCCCUUUGGAGAAAUUAAUGAAACAAAUUAUAAAUUUUUGUUUAAAGAGAUACAAGAUGAAAAAUUAAUUAAUACCAAUGAAGCAAUUACAUUUUCAACUGAUUCAAAAAUAGUAAAGUCAAAUAAAUUAAAAACAACCAGUAAUGUUGGCCUAUACAUUGUACAAGAAAACAUCUGGAGAAAUUUCCUAUUAAAAAUAUAAAGCUGUCUCAAAAUGGAUAUAUGGUUUUAAAUAUAACUCCACAACAAACUAAGGAAUAUUAUUUAUACAAAAGACAAUUCAAACAACAUUCAUUGAUAGCAGAACAUGAUGUUAAUAUCUUAUUCAAUAUUUCAGAAAAAAUUAUGGAUGACCUGAUAAAUGAAGUUUUAUCAAAAAUUGAUUAUGAUGCAAUAAUCAAGAAUUUAAUAAAAAUGGAACUAUUGGAAUGAUUUUAAAUUUUCAAAGGAUU
This 2099-nucleotide unclassified non-coding RNA is filed under the name Rhopalosiphum maidis (corn leaf aphid). RNAcentral's name for it is "uncharacterized LOC113560459, transcript variant X3". Lineage: Eukaryota; Metazoa; Arthropoda; Insecta; Hemiptera; Aphididae. The record is from RNAcentral.